AUGGUCGAGAAGAACAAUGGAUUGUUGAUGGAGCCAAUCAACAAGGACGAUAAGGACGGUCACAACAGUGAGAAUAAGAAGGCGGAGCUCAUCGCCGUCGGCCGCCAGCUCUGCAGGGAGAAGAAGAACGACGAUGCGUUGAUUAUAAAGAAGUUAACAAUGCCACCUGGUGUGCAAAGGGUCCUCAAGGUGAGGCAUGUGGUGCCCUUUCUGAAUGUCGUUUUCUUCUUCCUUGCAUCUCAAAUGCAAGCAACCAUGCUUCUACCGAGGCUUAGAAGAAACAAAGAUGCUGUUGUCAAGAAUUUCACCCCACCCAUUGCAUUGGAUAUCACCUCUGGCUGCAGCAAUAGUGUGUUAAUCUAG
Molecule: ribosomal RNA, 363 nt
Filed under: Triticum aestivum (bread wheat)
Lineage: Eukaryota; Viridiplantae; Streptophyta; Magnoliopsida; Poales; Poaceae
Description: partial small subunit ribosomal RNA
Source: RNAcentral